AGUGAACUGAAACAUCUAAGUAGCUGCAGGAAGAGAAAGCAAAAGCGAUUGCCUUAGUAGCGGCGAGCGAAACGGCAAGAGGGCAAACCGAAGAGUUUACUCUUCGGGGUUGUAGGACUGCAACGUGGACUUAAAGAUUAUAGAAGAACUACCUGGGAAGGUAGGCCAAAGAGAGUAAUAGCCUCGUAUUCGAAAUAGUCUUUAUACCUAGCAGUAUCCUGAGUACGGCGAGACACGAGAAAUCUCGUCGGAAUCUGGGAGGACCAUCUCCCAACCCUAAAUACUCUCUAGUGACCGAUAGUGAACCAGUACCGUGAGGGAA
RNAcentral lists this ribosomal RNA (322 nucleotides) under Streptococcus pneumoniae. RNAcentral describes it as "partial 23S ribosomal RNA". It matches the Rfam family "Bacterial large subunit ribosomal RNA", at positions 187 to 511 of the family's 2925-position model. The record is from RNAcentral. Lineage: Bacteria; Bacillati; Bacillota; Bacilli; Lactobacillales; Streptococcaceae.